GCAGUCGAGGGGUAUAUUUCUUCGGAGAUAGAGACCGGCGCACGGGUGCGUAACGCGUAUGCAAUCUACCUUUUACAGAGGGAUAGCCCAGAGAAAUUUGGAUUAAUACCUCAUAGCAUUGCAGAAAGGCAUCUUUCAGCAAUUAAAGUCACAACGGUAAAAGAUGAGCAUGCGUCCCAUUAGCUAGUUGGUAAGGUAACGGCUUACCAAGGCUACGAUGGGUAGGGGUCCUGAGAGGGAGAUCCCCCACACUGGUACUGAGACACGGACCAGACUCCUACGGGAGGCAGCAGUGAGGAAUAUUGGUCAAUGGGCGCAAGCCUGAACCAGCCAUGCCGCGUGCAGGAUGACGGUCCUAUGGAUUGUAAACUGCUUUUGUACGGGAAGAAACAGCGAUUCGUGAAUCGCCUUGACGGUACCGUAAGAAUAAGGAUCGGCUAACUCCGUGCCAGCAGCCGCGGUAAUACGGAGGAUCCAAGCGUUAUCCGGAAUCAUUGGGUUUAAAGGGUCCGUAGGCGGUUUAGUAAGUCAGUGGUGAAAGCCCAUCGCUCAACGGUGGAACGGCCAUUGAUACUGCUAGACUUGAAUUAUUAGGAAGUAACUAGAAUAUGUAGUGUAGCGGUGAAAUGCUUAGAGAUUACAUGGAAUACCAAUUGCGAAGGCAGGUUACUACUAAUGGAUUGACGCUGAUGGACGAAAGCGUGGGUAGCGAACAGGAUUAGAUACCCUGGUAGUCCACGCCGUANACGAUGGAUACUAGCUGUUGGGAGCGAUCUCAGUGGCUAAGCGAAAGUGAUAAGUAUCCCACCUGGGGAGUACGUUCGCAAGAAUGAAAC
This 836-nucleotide ribosomal RNA is filed under the name uncultured bacterium. RNAcentral describes it as "bacterial SSU rRNA". It matches the Rfam family "Bacterial small subunit ribosomal RNA", at positions 57 to 900 of the family's 1533-position model. The record is from RNAcentral.